UGGAAUCGCUAGUAAUCGCAGAUCAGAAUGCUGCGGUGAAUACGUUCCCGGGUCUUGUACACACCGCCCGUCACACCAUGGGAGUCGGAAAUGCCCGAAGCCGGUGGCCAAACCAAUAAGGAAGGAGCCGUCGAAGGCAGGUCUGAUAACUGGGGGUGAAGUCGUAACAAGGUAUC
This 176-nucleotide ribosomal RNA is filed under the name uncultured bacterium. RNAcentral describes it as "partial 16S ribosomal RNA". It matches the Rfam family "Bacterial small subunit ribosomal RNA", at positions 1327 to 1500 of the family's 1533-position model. The record is from RNAcentral.